RNAcentral lists this unclassified non-coding RNA (208 nucleotides) under Hevea brasiliensis (rubber tree). The record is from RNAcentral. Lineage: Eukaryota; Viridiplantae; Streptophyta; Magnoliopsida; Malpighiales; Euphorbiaceae.
AGCGCGAGGUGCUGCGGCGCUGCGUAGAAGUAUCAAUCAGCCGGUUGCUUUUGUGAGAAGAAUUCCUUGGACUGCGGCGUCGAGUCAGCUGAAAGAACACUUUGCACAGUUCGGCCAUGUCAGAAGGUGCAUUUUACCUUUUGACAAGGAGACUGGCUUUCACAGAGGUUUGGGUUGGGUUCAGUUUUCUUCAGAAGAAGGACUUCGG